GACGAACGCUGGCGGCGUGCUUGACACAUGCAAGUCGAACGGAAAGGCCCUGCUUUUGUGGGGUGCUCGAGUGGCGAACGGGUGAGUAACACGUGAGUAACCUGCCCUUGACUUUGGGAUAACUUCAGGAAACUGGGGCUAAUACCGGAUAGGAGCUCCUGCUGCAUGGUGGGGGUUGGAAAGUUUCGGCGGUUGGGGAUGGACUCGCGGCUUAUCAGCUUGUUGGUGGGGUAGUGGCUUACCAAGGCUUUGACGGGUAGCCGGCCUGAGAGGGUGACCGGCCACAUUGGGACUGAGAUACGGCCCAGACUCCUACGGGAGGCAGCAGUGGGGAAUAUUGCACAAUGGGCGGAAGCCUGAUGCAGCAACGCCGCGUGCGGGAUGACGGCCUUCGGGUUGUAAACCGCUUUCGCCUGUGACGAAGCGUGAGUGACGGUAAUGGGUAAAGAAGCACCGGCUAACUACGUGCCAGCAGCCGCGGUGAUACGUAGGGUGCGAGCGUUGUCCGGAUUUAUUGGGCGUAAAGGGCUCGUAGGUGGUUGAUCGCGUCGGAAGUGUAAUCUUGGGGCUUAACCCUGAGCGUGCUUUCGAUACGGGUUGACUUGAGGAAGGUAGGGGAGAAUGGAAUUCCUGGUGGAGCGGUGGAAUGCGCAGAUAUCAGGAGGAACACCAGUGGCGAAGGCGGUUCUCUGGGCCUUUCCUGACGCUGAGGAGCGAAAGCGUGGGGAGCGAACAGGCUUAGAUACCCUGGUAGUCCACGCUGUAAACGGUGGGUACUAGGUGUGGGGUCCAUUCCACGGGUUCCGUGCCGUAGCUAACGCUUUAAGUACCCCGCCUGGGGAGUACGGCCGCAAGGCUAAAACUCAAAGGAAUUGACGGGGCCCCGCACAAGCGGCGGAGCAUGCGGAUUAAUUCGAUGCAACGCGUAGAACCUUACCUGGGUUUGACAUGGAUCGGGAGUGCUCAGAGAUGGGUGUGCCUCUUUUGGGGUCGGUUCACAGGUGGUGCAUGCCUGUCGUCAGCUCGUGUCGUGAGAUGUUGGGUUAAGUCCCGCAACGAGCGCAACCCUUGUUCACUGUUGCCAGCACGUUAUGGUGGGGACUCAGUGGAGACCGCCGGGGUCAACUCGGAGGAAGGUGGGGAUGACGUCAAGUCAUCAUGCCCCUUAUGUCCAGGGCUUCACGCAUGCUACAAUGGCUGGUACAGAGAGUGGCGAGCCUGUGAGGGUGAGCGAAUCUCGGAAAGCCGGUCUCAGUUCGGAUUGGGGUCUGCAACUCGACCUCAUGAAGUCGGAGUCGCUAGUAAUCGCAGAUCAGCAACGCUGCGGUGAAUACGUUCCCGGG
RNAcentral lists this ribosomal RNA (1343 nucleotides) under uncultured bacterium. RNAcentral describes it as "16S ribosomal RNA". It matches the Rfam family "Bacterial small subunit ribosomal RNA", at positions 28 to 1378 of the family's 1533-position model. The record is from RNAcentral.